This 329-nucleotide ribosomal RNA is filed under the name uncultured eukaryote. Its description in RNAcentral is "partial 18S ribosomal RNA". It matches the Rfam family "Eukaryotic small subunit ribosomal RNA", at positions 1470 to 1796 of the family's 1831-position model. The record is from RNAcentral.
CCCUUAGAUGUUCUGGGCCGCACGCGCGCUACACUGACAGAGCCAACGAGUUCUUCACCUUGGCCGGAAGGUCUGGGUAAUCUUGUUAAACUCUGUCGUGCUGGGGAUAGAGCAUUGCAAUUAUUGCUCUUCAACGAGGAAUGCCUAGUAAGCGCGUGUCAUCAGCGCGCGUUGAUUACGUCCCUGCCCUUUGUACACACCGCCCGUCGCUACUACCGAUUGAAUGGCUCAGUGAGGCCUUCGGACUGGCUCAGGGAGGUUGGCAACGACCACCCCGAGCCGGAAAGUUCGUCAAACUCGGUCAUUUAGAGGAAGUAAAAGUCGUAACA